Non-coding RNA from Neolamprologus brichardi, 751 nucleotides. The record is from the annotation of a RefSeq genome assembly. NCBI's taxonomy places the organism in Eukaryota, Metazoa, Chordata, Actinopteri, Cichliformes, Cichlidae.
UGUCUGUCUACAUAUAUACAUUUGAACUCAGUGUCUUCACUUUAAACUUGAACAUAAAUCUCUCUGUUUAACUGACUAUCUCUUUCUGAUGGGACAGAGCCAACAGUAGCAGUCUACAUCCCCCCACAGCUGCACACUGACCCAUAUAAAGAAAUCACUCUGGUGUGUCUGGUCACCAGUACUGUGAAUGAGACAUAUAAAAUCGAAUGGUCAGAAAUGUUUGGAAAGUCACAAGGACCUUAUACUACAGCCACCGACGUCCCUGCACAGAAGAGCAAAAAUGACCAGAAAUGGCGAAGUAUGAGUCUUUACACCACCAGUAAGGCAAACUGGGACAAAAAAGAUCCAACCAAAGUGUUCACCUGCCGUGUCGGAGUCGGACCUAAACAUAUUUUAAAAACAGUGUCCAGUGUCCAUGAUGAUUUUUGUGAUCUGAGUUGGGACGAUAUCACCGCUGAAGACGAUUUUGGCAGCCUGUGGUCCACAGCUUCCUCCUUCAUAUUCCUUUUCAUAUUCUCUCUCUUCUAUAGCAUUAUUAUCAGCCUUCUGAAGAUAAAGAGAUCAUAACAAAUGGGAUGGAAUGGGUGCGCUUCAUUUCUACGCUAUUUUUAAAAUAUGUUUUUCAUUUUCUUUUUAUGCACAUAAUCAUUUAUUUGUUAUAUUAAAUGCCUGUCAUAUAUAAAUAGUCAAUUAACACAUCUGUAAAAUGUGUAAAAUAGAUCAAUAAAAUGAAACUGCAUAUUAUACUGCA